Molecule: long non-coding RNA, 2390 nt
Organism: Oreochromis niloticus (Nile tilapia)
Lineage: Eukaryota; Metazoa; Chordata; Actinopteri; Cichliformes; Cichlidae
Exons: 3
Source: RefSeq, a predicted model, not a curated record
UUCUCUGUAACGGAAUCUGCUCCCUCUGUCGUUUUGUCGGAUUAGCUGGGGUAAGGAAAACAUGAGGAUCGUGUUCCGAGCGUUUCCCAGUCGCUGGCUGCUCAGCAUAAACACCAGGAGUGCUUGGCCUCCCUCAUAUCCGCCUCCUCAGCUCCUCCACCUCUCUCCUUGGCCCCUGGGGUUCUAGCGCGGGUUUGUUUUAGUAGUGUAGCCCCAGAAGAGUGUUUGGUUGUGUUGUGUGUCACACUGGACGCUUCACACUGGAACGUAGCAGGAAUUCAUGAAGCUGCCGCUCUGAGGGUCUCAUAGUUGUGCGCACAUUAAUAAGAUGGCUACUUGGAUAUGCACAGAAAGAAAGGAGCUGGAUCACCUGCCUGUGUCUACAUUUACAUCAUACACUCGCACAAGGUUUUAGACUGAGUCACCGUCCAGGGCAGAGGUGUCAAACAUAAGGCCCUGGGGCCAGAAUUGGCCCAGAAAAGACUCCAAUCCGGACCACUGGACAGUUUUGGGAAAACAUGACGGCAGGAAUAAAGUUUUGAACUUUUUGAAGUUUUACAGCUGCUUUUCCUGCUGAUAAAGACCUCCCUCACAGGCAUUUAUACUACACCAAAGUAGUUAAAUAAUAUUUAAAAAAAUGACAUGACAAAAAAAAAUCAUGCUUUUAAUUGGCUAAUAUAGAAAUUUUGGUUAAAAGUUCAAGUUUUAGAAAUACGAAACAGUCCGGGCAGUGAGCUACCAGAACCUUUUCUGUAAUUGUACACUUUUAUCAUGUAGAAUAAUUGAAAUGUGAUGGUGUAAUUGUACCUCUUCAUUUUAUUUAUUAAGAUAUCUCAGGGAUUAAAUGUGUAGUUAAACAUCUUUACACUGACACUUGAUGUAAAAUAAGUUUGACACCCGGGCUUAAAUAUAACUGGACUUAAAAUAUGUACAAGUGUGGCCUUUUCAUCAGUUAGUUAAGCAGUUAAAAUGUCAGCAUGUGAUUAGAAGUGUAACAUUUGAAUUUGGAAACUCUCUCAACCCAACUUGUAGUAGAAGAAGCUCUUUUAGAAGAGAAGUCCUGGGGCUGCAAAAAGGAUGGAAAAAAAAAACACAACAACACAAAAAGGCCUGGAUGUUGACUGAAGAUAGGAGUGGUGGAUGAUCAUGGGAUCCUUUCCAUAGCAAAGACCUCUUCAGAUAUAUAACACAUAAAAUCAAGUGAAGAAUGCGCUCACUAUGUGGCAGGGUGUUUUAAAGGGAAAACAAGAAAAACCAGCCAUCAGCUGCAAGAACAGAAAAAAACAGAUUAGGCUUUGCAAAAACAUCUAAAACAGCAGACCGGCGCUGGAACUGCAUUCUUUGGAUAUCUUAAAGAGAAUGACACGUCCUCUGUAAAACAGACUGGAGCCAGUGUGAUGUAUGGACAUGCAUAGCUUCCAGUGGCGCUGGGUCACUCGUGUUUAUUAGUGAUUUGACAGAAGACAGAAAUGAUGAGCUGCGAUGUGUACGGAGCUUUACUUCCAGCUCGGAUUCCACCAAAUGAGGGAAAGUUGAUUGGACUGUGCUUCAAAGUGCAGAUAAACACUAACCCAAAAGAUACUCAGGAAGAAACCUGAGGGUUUUAGGCUUUAGGUAAAGAAGGAGGAACAUUCUGCAAUUGCCCAAUCAGAUUUAUCACAACAUAACUUAGCUGAAUUGCACUUGAAGACAGCAGAAGGAAAGACCUGGCAAAGCAUCACAAAGAAGAAAAGUUAUUGAGAUCCAUAGGUUUCAGACUUCGGGCAGCCAGUUUUCACUUGACUCUCUGCAAAUGGGACUGUAUUAAAAUAGAUUGUUUUGUUCAGCUCCUUAAAUUCAAGCAAUUGCACUCUAAGUCAUCAUCAUAUAACUGCAACCUGAAUAUAAUCUGUAAGUAAUUUAAAGAAACAAAAGAAAAGUUUGUCCUAAGUUGUCCACACACAGCUUUACUCGCGCUGGCUGUAACACAGUAAAAAGUAAUGCAUUAUAAUCACAUUUUUCUGUAACAUAGGCAGUUUAAAGCUCUGCCUGGCUGUUGUUUUGAGAUUGCCAGUCCCCCUGUGGUUCAGCUGAUGCCUUGACUCGAGAUUUUUCUACCUGUUUUUUCUGCUUUGGUUGACCUUUUACUGAACUGGGCUGGAUUGCUGUGAGUCUUUUUUCUUAAAUUAGGCCUCACUCUUUGUUUUUGCAGCCUGGCGUCGUGCACACUUUGCACCUUUAUUUUCGGGUCCUCCUUUGAACUUUUGAACUUCAAAAAAAUCCCACUACCAAGGAGUUGCUUGUUUCCCAGUUCAUUACGAUAAAUGUGGUGUUAUGUAUUAAUAUACGCAGCUGGAAUUAGUGCUCAACAAAUACACACAAAUCAUUUAUUCUUUAAAAAAUCCCCAAAA